UUACGACCAUAGCACAUUGAAACACCGGUUCCCGUACAAUCACCGAAGUUAAGCAACGUCGAACCUAGUCAGAUGGAUGGGAGCUCGCUUGGGAAUACUAGGUGCUGUAA
This is a non-coding RNA of Acanthosepion pharaonis, 110 nucleotides long. NCBI's taxonomy places the organism in Eukaryota, Metazoa, Mollusca, Cephalopoda, Sepiida, Sepiidae. The record is from the annotation of a GenBank genome assembly.